RNAcentral lists this small nuclear RNA (107 nucleotides) under Chinchilla lanigera (long-tailed chinchilla). Lineage: Eukaryota; Metazoa; Chordata; Mammalia; Rodentia; Chinchillidae. The record is from RNAcentral.
GUGCUCACUUCAGAAGCACAUUUACUAAAAUUAGAACAGUACAGAGGAGAUUAGCAUGGUCCCUGCAUAAGAAUGACAUGCAAAUUCCUGAACUAUCACAUAUUUUU